UACGUAGGGGGCAAGCGUUGUCCGGAAUCAUUGGGCGUAAAGCGCACGCAGGCGGUCUUUUAAGUUUUGAGUGACAGGCGAGGGCUUAACCCUGGCAGGCCUUGGAAAACUGGAAGACUUGAGGGCGAGAGAGGGAUGCGGAAUUCCAGGUGGAGCGGUGAAAUGCGUAGAGAUCUGGAAGAACACCGAAGGCGAAGGCAGCAUCCUGGAGCGUUACUGACGCUGAUGUGCGAAAGCUAGGGGAGCGAACGGG
Molecule: ribosomal RNA, 253 nt
Filed under: uncultured bacterium
Lineage: Bacteria
Description: partial 16S ribosomal RNA
Rfam family: Bacterial small subunit ribosomal RNA
Source: RNAcentral